This 253-nucleotide ribosomal RNA is filed under the name uncultured bacterium. RNAcentral describes it as "partial 16S ribosomal RNA". It matches the Rfam family "Bacterial small subunit ribosomal RNA", at positions 524 to 776 of the family's 1533-position model. The record is from RNAcentral.
UACGAAGGGGGCUAGCGUUGCUCGGAAUCACUGGGCGUAAAGCGCACGUAGGCGGAUUGCUAAGUCAGGGGUGAAAUCCUGGAGCUCAACUCCAGAACUGCCCUUGAUACUGGCGGUCUCGAGUCCGGGAGAGGUGAGUGGAACUGCGAGCGUAGAGGUGAAAUUGGUAGAUAUUCGCAAGAACACCAGUGGCGAAGGCGGCUCACUGGCCCGGUACUGACGCUGAGGUGCGAAAGCGUGGGGAGCAAACAGG